RNAcentral lists this ribosomal RNA (622 nucleotides) under Hepatozoon sp. Its description in RNAcentral is "SSU rRNA". It matches the Rfam family "Eukaryotic small subunit ribosomal RNA", at positions 313 to 928 of the family's 1831-position model. The record is from RNAcentral. Lineage: Eukaryota; Apicomplexa; Hepatozoidae.
UAUCAGCUUUCGACGGUAUGGUAUUGGCUUACCGUGGCAGUGACGGUUAACGGGGGAUUAGGGUUCGAUUCCGGAGAGGGAGCCUGAGAAACGGCUACCACAUCUAAGGAAGGCAGCAGGCGCGCAAAUUACCCAAUUCUAACAGUUUAAGAGAGGUAGUAACAAGAAAUAACAAUACAAGGCAGUUAAAAUGCUUUGUAAUUGGAAUGAUAGAAAUUUAAACCCUUUUUAAAGUAUCAAUUGGAGGGCAAGUCUGGUGCCAGCAGCCGCGGUAAUUCCAGCUCCAAUAGCGUAUAUUAAAAUUGUUGCAGUUAAAAAGCUCGUAGUUGAAGUUCUGCUAAAAGUAACUGGUCUGCUUUUAAUAAAAGUGGUAUCUUGGUGUGUAUUUAGCAAUGAUGUCCUUUGAAGUGUUUUUUACUUUAUUGUAACAAAGCAUAUUCAGGACUUUUACUUUGAGAAAAUUAGAGUGUUUCUAGCAGGCUGACGCUUUGAAUACUGCAGCAUGGAAUAAUAAGAUAGGAUUUUAGUUCUACUUUAUUGGUUUUAAGAACUAAAUUAAUGAUUGAUAGGGACAGUUGGGGGCAUUUGUAUUUAACUGUCAGAGGUGAAAUUCUUAGAUUUG